This 274-nucleotide ribosomal RNA is filed under the name uncultured bacterium. RNAcentral describes it as "partial 16S ribosomal RNA". It matches the Rfam family "Archaeal small subunit ribosomal RNA", at positions 473 to 747 of the family's 1478-position model. The record is from RNAcentral.
AAACCAGCACCUCAAGUGGUCAGGAUGAUUAUUGGGCCUAAAGCAUCCGUAGCCGGCUCUGUAAGUUUUCGGUUAAAUCUGUACGCUCAACGUACAGGCUGUCGGGAAUACUGCAGAGCUAGGGAGUGGGAGAGGUAGACGGUACUCGGGAGGAAGUGGUAAAAUGCUUUGAUCUCUCGAUGACCACCUGUGGCGAAGGCGGUCUACCAGAACACGUCCGACGGUGCGGGAUGAAAGCUGGGGGAGCAAACCGGAUUAGAAACCCGAGUAGUCC